Molecule: ribosomal RNA, 795 nt
Filed under: Menurella scotodes
Lineage: Eukaryota; Metazoa; Arthropoda; Insecta; Lepidoptera; Nepticulidae
Description: eukaryotic LSU rRNA
Rfam family: Eukaryotic large subunit ribosomal RNA
Source: RNAcentral
CGNUCANGNGUNAACCUGCGNAACUCGAAUGAACGAACGGGGAGAUUCAUCGUCAUUCGAUGGACGGCGUUGCGGUUGCGCGAUGUGUGGCCCGCCGGUGAUUUCGGUCGCCGGUGCGAGUUGCGCACGUGCACUGUGACGUACAAUCGUCCGUCGACGGCGUGCACUUCUCCCUUAGUACUGCAUCGCGACCCGCUCGACGUCGGUCUAAGCCCCGUUCGGGAGCCCGUGGCGCUUCGCGCGACACGGACCGUGACGGACGCCGACCGUCUGUUGGGCGGUAGUGAAUAUGAAACGUGCACGCGCUUGUCGCGUCCGGCCCGACGCAAGGUCGUCGCGACGCCGCUGUUACGCCUCAGCGCGUUCAGUGUGCGUCCGGCGCCUGCUUAUCGCCGCCGUGUCGUCUCGGACGUGCACGUAUCGAGUCAGCGAUGUUUUUGUUUCGGGCACUCGCAGGACCCGUCUUGAAACACGGACCAAGGAGUCUAGCAUGUGUGCGAGUCACUAGGUAUUCGUACUAAACCGAAAGGCGUAACGAAAGUGAAGGCGCGCGCUUGACGCGCGCUCGGGGAGGAUGACGUUGACUCUCGCGGUCAGCGUCCGCACUCCCGAGGCGUCCCGUUCGCAAUCUGUCGAUGUGGGCGCGCUCAGAGCACAAAUGCUGGGACCCGAAAGAUGGUGAACUAUGCCUGGUCAGGUCGAAGUCAGGGGAAACCCUGAUGGAGGACCGUAGCGAUUCUGACGUGCAAAUCGAUCGUCGGAACUGGGUAUAGGGGCGAAGACUAUCGAACCAUC